CUCUGUCUCUCAAAAUAAUAAGUAAACUUCAAAAAAAAAAUAAAAAAAAAAUUUAGACAUGAUCUCAAAAUACUACUAUAGAAGGUUAGAAUUUAGCUCCCUUGAAGUCUUUUUCUGCAAUAUUUGUUUACUUUCUGUACUGGGUAAAAGUCUUAUUUGCCUCCUCAGUUUCCCGGGUGAUGUCCAGCUCCCAGACUGUGAUACUGCUCCCAGGAGAUAAUCAGUCAUUUGCCCUGGAAUCUUGGGCCCUUCCUCUUGGCUGCCAGAAGCACAGCUGGGCCAACUAACACAAGGUUUAACACUUCUGGCUCUUGUUACCACAUCUGGAUUUAGAUGAAAUUCCAGUGCUCGGAAUGUGAAAUUCAUCUUCCCAAUGGCUGUUGGAGGGACCAGAUAACCCAACUCAGAAAUGAAGGAGAAUUAUAUCUGUGGGUAAAUUUUGACCAAUGAGAGGCCAACAUGUAACAAAUGGCCUUUAUUGCUUACCAUCAUGUUGCAUUGCUUUAUAUACUCCUGUCACUCAUUGACCUGGAUUUGUCCCUCUCCAAUAAAAUCUCAGUAUUAAAAUUUCUUUAAAUAUUUUAUUUAUAUUUGAGAAAGAGAAAGAGAGAGAGAAUGAGGGAAGGGCAGAGAGAGACACAGACAGAAUCUGAAGUAGGCUCCAGGCUCUGAGCUCUCUGCACAGAGCCCGAUGCAAAGCUUGAACUCAUGAGCUGUGAGAUCAUGACCAGAGCUGAAGUUAUACACUUAACCAGCUGAGGCACCCAGGCAUCCCAAGCCUCACUAUUUAAAUUCUUUUGUCAGACCCAGACCCCAUUUUUCCAGAGCAUUCAAGGCUAAGAUACUUUCCUUCCCCAGUGUGUGUGUUUAUGUGUUUGUGUGUGUGUGUGUGUGUGUGUGUGUGUAGACAACUUUUAGUUAAUUCAAUAAUCAGAAUUUAAAUUAUCAUGACUCUAUACGUGCUACAUAUCCCAGCAAAACCAGCAAGAAUGAUUUUACUUUUCUCCCCCUAAAGCUUUCUAUUUUUCCUGGAGUUUAAAAUAACAUAGACUUUUGUUGUUGUUGUUCACUUAAUUUCCUAUGCCAAUAUAGAAAUCUUCCCAAACAUUAAAGUUCCUUUAAUACGAAUAAAAAUGUUAGGUAAUCUAACAGUUCUUUUGUCUUUGAGAUUCCUACUGUAACCUUGUGUUGUCUUGUUCCAAUUUGAACUCGUUGACCUUUAGGCUUGCUGUUCCACACUAUUCUCCAAAUUCUCUUUGCGUGUUUUUGUUUUUUUUUUAUAUUCUUUAUUUCCUGGAUCUAAUGCCUUACUUUUUUUUGGUUUACAACCUCAUGUUGGUGAAGCACAUCCUCCAGUAGCUUCCUAAAAAAAGUACAUGGGAGGUAAUUUAUUUUAAAAUCUUAAAUGCCUGAGAUGGUCUUUUUUAACCUUCAUAUUUACAUAAUAAAUUAUUUGGAUAAGGAAUUUUUGAUUAGAAAUAAAAUUUUAUCAGAAUUUUAAAAACACUCCAUUUUUUUUCUAGUAUAUUGCACCACUUCUGAAAAGUUUAAUGCUAAUCUAAUUCUCAGUUCCUUGUAUAUAAUCAGUUAUUUUCUUACGGGAAGUUUUAGUAUCUUUUUCUAAAUAUCUAACAUUUUGGAUUUCAUAACGUUGUGUCUUAUUGUGGGUCUGAUUUUGUUAAUAAGGUACCAGGUGUCAUUUUGUAAACUGAAGUUCUUUUUAAAAAUUUUUUUAAAACUAUUUAUUUAUUUUUGAGAGAGAGAGACAGAGUGAGUGGGGGAGGGGCAGAGAGAAAAGGAGACACAGAAUCUGAAGCGGGCUCCAGGUUUUGAGAUGUCAGCAUAGAGCCUGACACGGGACUCAAACCCAUGAACUAUGAGAUCAUUACCUGAGCUGAAGUCAGACACUUAACUGACUGAGCCACCCAGGUGUCCCUAUAAACAGGUUCUUAAGUUUUAACAAAUUAUUUCUUGAAUUCUUUCUUUGAAAUAUUUAUGGCUCUUAUUUCUUAGCUAUUUCAUUUAUCAAUAAGUGUCUUUGUGAGGUUUGUGAAUUCUUUUAGGUUCUUGGGGUAUAACUGUGCAAAGACUAAAAACCCUAUUCUCAUGGAGCGUACCUUCUAACAGUAGAGAUAGAUAAGUUAAAUAAGUAAACUAAAAAGUAUGUUAGAUAGUGAUAAAUGCUGAGGAAUAAAAGGCCAAGAAGGGAGUUAUUAUUUGGGGUGUGUGUGAAAUUUGCAAUUUUAGAUAUGGGGUCAGAAAAAGCUUCACUGAGAGAGUGAGGUUUAAGUUAAGACCAGAGGAAUCAAAAAGUUACCUAGGUAGAUCUCUGGGGGAAAAGCCAUUUAGGUAGAAAAAAUAUAAAGUUUGAAGUACAUAUGUAUUUUAGGAAUAGUAAGGAAGCCAGAGUGACCAAACUAAAAGAAGCAAAUAGGAGAGUGGGAGGGAAUGAGGUUAAAAGCAAUUGGGGCCCAAAUUAUGCCUUGUAGGUAGAAAGGAGACCAUUAGAGGGUUUUGAGCAGAGGAAUAACAUUAUCUAACACAUGUCUUAAUGGAAUCACUUUGGCUGGUAUGUUGGGAGUCUGAAAGAGGGCAAAGACAGAAGCAAAUGUACUAUUUCGGAGGCUGUUGCAACAAAUCAAGAAAGAAGUGAUAGUGGCUUGUACCAGAGUAAUGGCAGUGAGGAUUAUGAGAUGUGGUUGAAUUCUUUAUAUGUUUUGAAGGUAGAAGUGUCAUGUUUUGCUGACAGACCAUAUCUGAGGUGUGAGAUAAAAGGAAGGAAGAUGACUCAGGAUUUUGGCAUGAGCCUAAAAAAAGAAGUUGCCAAAAACUGAAAAGGAGAAAAGUACAGGAGGUGAAGAUUGUUUUUAUCUUUAUUUCUGGGAAGAGGGAGGAAAAUAUAAGUUAGAAGUUUGGAAUUAGGCACUGGAAGUAUGAGAUGUCUGUUACAUACCCAAAUAAAGAUGUAAAUUGUGAGUUUGAUAUUUAGCUCUGCAUGUUGAGGUGACAUAUGUGGGUUAGAGAGAUAUAGAUGUAGAAGCCUUCAGCAUUCAGGUGGUCCAUAUGACCAUGAGACAGGACUAGAUAGCCAGGGAGUGGGUGUAGAUUUUACACUGAUUAGAGGGGUGGAAAUCUAAAGGUUGAGUCUGGAGGCCUUGCCCACAUUUAGAGAUCAGGUUGAUGAGUAAGAAACAGGAAAGACAGAGAGGAAGUGGCCAAGGUGUAGGAGGAAAGCAGGUAUGUGUGUAGUUCCACAAGGAAAAGAAAGUUUUCCAAGAAGGUGGGAAUCAUCAACUCUGUCAGGUGUUACUGAUAAACAAAGUGAGAUGAGGACGAACCAGUGAAAUUUUUUUUGGUGAUCUUGAUGAGAAUAGGUAGGUGUAGGGAAGUGGUGAGGUGAAAAUUGGACUGGAGUAGAUUCAGAGAGAGAGGAGGGAAAGAAUUUCAAUUAGUGGGUGAAAAUACAUUUCUUCAGAAGAUUUGCUAAAAAAGGCAAUAAGAGAAAUAAGAUGGUAUCUUCUUAUGAAGAUGGUCCCCAAGGUGAAGAAGGAAAACUCUGCCCCUCCCAAAGCCAAAGCCAAAGCCAAAACCAAAGCCAAGGCUUUGAAAGCUAAAAAAGUGGUACUUAAAAGUGUCCACAGUCACAAAAAAAUAUCCAUAUGUCACCUAUCUUCUGAUGGUCCAAGACACUAUGUCUUUGAAGGCAGCCCAAAUAUCCUCCAAAGAGCAUCCCUAGGAGAAACAAGUUUGACCACUAUGCCAUUGUCAAAUUCCCCUGACUACUGAGUCAGUCAUAAAGAAAAUAGAAGACAACACACUUGUGUUGUCAAGGCCAACAAGCACCAGAUCAAACAGUCUGGGAAGAAGACUGAUGACACUGAUGUGGCCAAGGUCAACACCCUGAUCAGGUUGGAUGGAGAGAAGGCAUAUAUUCGACUGGCUCUUGACUAUGAUGCUUUGGAUGUUGUCAAGAAAAUUGGGAUCAUCUAAACUGAGUCCAGCUGGCUAAAUAUAAAUAUAAAUUUUUUAACCACCCACCCUCCCAAAAGAAGAAA
RNAcentral lists this long non-coding RNA (4055 nucleotides) under Lynx pardinus (Iberian lynx). The record is from RNAcentral. Lineage: Eukaryota; Metazoa; Chordata; Mammalia; Carnivora; Felidae.